GCAUCGAUGAAGAACGCAGCGAAAUGCGAUAACUAAUGUGAAUUGCAGAAUUCAGUGAAUCAUCGAGUCUUUGAACGCACAUUGCGCCCCCUGGUAUUCCGGGGGGCAUGCCUGUCCGAGCGUCAUUGCUGCCCUCAAGCCCGGCUUGUGUGUUGGGUCCUCGUCCCCCUCCCCGGGGGGACGGGCCCGAAAGGCAGCGGCGGCACCGCGUCCGGUCCUCGAGCGUAUGGGGCUUUGUCACCCGCUCGAUUUAGGGCCGGCCGGGCGCCAGCCGACGUCCAACCAUUUUUCUUCAGGUUGACCUCGGAUCAGGUAGGGAUACCCGCUGAACUUAAGCAUAUCAAUAAGCGGAGGAA
RNAcentral lists this ribosomal RNA (356 nucleotides) under uncultured fungus. RNAcentral's name for it is "eukaryotic LSU rRNA". The stretch from base 1 to 125 matches the Rfam family "5.8S ribosomal RNA", at positions 30 to 154 of the family's 154-position model. The record is from RNAcentral. Lineage: Eukaryota; Fungi.